UACGUAGGGGGCGAGCGUUAUCCGGAUUCAUUGGGCGUAAAGCGCGCGUAGGCGGCCGCCUAAGCGGAACCUCUAACCCCGGGGCUCAACCUCGGGCCGGGUUCCGGACUGGGCGGCUCGAGUGCGGUAGAGGAGAGCGGAAUUCCCGGUGUAGCGGUGGAAUGCGCAGAUAUCGGGAAGAACACCGAUGGCGAAGGCAGCUCUCUGGGCCGUUACUGACGUUGAGGCCCGAAAGCGUGGGGAGCAAACAGG
RNAcentral lists this ribosomal RNA (252 nucleotides) under uncultured bacterium. RNAcentral's name for it is "partial 16S ribosomal RNA". It matches the Rfam family "Bacterial small subunit ribosomal RNA", at positions 524 to 776 of the family's 1533-position model. The record is from RNAcentral.